Regulatory RNA element from Caryophanon tenue, 185 nucleotides. NCBI's taxonomy places the organism in Bacteria, Bacillati, Bacillota, Bacilli, Caryophanales, Caryophanaceae. The record is from Rfam.
GUUAAAUAUACACAAGUACGGUUCCUUAAACAAAGGAUGAAAAGGGAAAACGGUGAAAAUCCGUUGCGGUCCCGCCACUGUAACUACGUAAAAAUUUGUUAGAUGCCACUGCUAUUUGCGGGAAGGCGACAAGUUUUGCUAAAGAGCGUAGAAGCCAGGAGACCUGCCUACUUGUUUUUUGCAGC